RNAcentral lists this long non-coding RNA (1967 nucleotides) under Panax ginseng (ginseng). RNAcentral describes it as "long non-coding RNA (PGIN_LNC009658)". The record is from RNAcentral. Lineage: Eukaryota; Viridiplantae; Streptophyta; Magnoliopsida; Apiales; Araliaceae.
CUUAAAUGACAUUAUUCCCUUAAACAACAUUCCUAUUUAAAAGGCUCACUCCGUGUUUUUUAAAAAGGCUCACUCCGUGUUUACAAAGUGCUCUCUUCUCACGCACUACUGAGCUCUCUCACUAGUUUCCCUCCAACAAAAUCGAAGCCUUGAAAUCGAUUGCUGCAAAAUCGAAGCAAAUCUUCUCCAAAUCUUCUGAAAAUCGAAUCAUGCCACAGAAAUCGAAGUCGAAGCCCUAGAAUCGGAACCCCCUAAAAAUCUCAGUUCUCUUCUCUCCGCAAUGUGGUGUGUAUAGGUAGAAUAUAGGUAUGAAUGUGGUGUGUUUCAUUCUUGUGUUUGUUCGAUACCCUGCUUCAGCUCACUCGAGCUUCCUGAAUAUAUUUUGAUUAUCUGAUCCUAUGAACACUAACUGUUGUCGGGCGAUUUACUGCCAUUGUGAAGGUUGGAUAUGUUAAGAUUUGAUAUAUUUCUAUUUCCUUUUACUUUAGUUGGAUAUGCUUCAUUCUUAUUCCAUCGACUUUUUCCAGUAAUUUUGGUUUUUUUAAAUUUCUUGGGGGAUCAAUACAAUGCUAAAAUUAGAUUUGAGGGCAUGUUUUGGAUUGUCAAGUACUCUGGUAUAGAACAUUUUCUGUGCUAUAGAUUUUGAUGUAGUCGACGUAUAUUAUUCAUAUGGGGGAGAAAAAUAGAAUUUUCCUGAAUAUAUGAAUGCAAACUCCUCUGCACUAUUGUGAUUUUUCAAAGCAUUCGUUAAUAUCUUGAUGUGCAAUAGUAAAAGACACAAGUGUCCCCCUUCUACUUUCUUGUCUUGAUUUCCUAGGAACUAUUAGUUAUUUGAUUUUAUUAAUAUUUUUAUUGAUUUCUGCACCGAUGAUCUUCUUGUCGUCUCUAAACUUCAUUAUAUAGAGAAUUCACAUAGUUUUCAGGUUGCUAAGAAACAAUAAUACCUUGUGGCAUAACUGCAAGAGAAGGGUGCUACAAUCAUAUGAAGUAAUAGUUAAAAGAUUAAUUCCCCCACCCCGACCCCCUUUUCCUUUUCCAACUUUAAUGACUAUAGUUAUAGAUACUUUUAAGUUUCAGUUGGAGUUGGGAAUAUGAGUGUGUUGUCAUAUUUCAUAUUAAAUUUUAGUUUGUUAUAUUAGUUUGCCAAUGUUCAUUGAACAUAAGAAUUUUGUUGUGUUAAUGAGACAACUGGUCAUGAUUAGCUGAAAUCAUCUCCACUAUGUAUGAUAGCUAGCCUGCAGCAAACUUGGUAACUUCACUAUGUUUGAUCUGACAAAUGGUCAUGAUUUUCAGCAUCUCCACUAAGAAUGUUUCGUUGUUGUAAUGAUUCUUAUUAUCUGUUAUCAGGUAUUCUAUGAACCAAUCAAAACUUUUGUUGAAAAAGCAGUUGGAGGAUGUGAUGAAGACAGGGCACACAAUGUGUUCGGCGAAAAUAUGCAAGCCUUUAAUUUUCCUAACAGUGUUGAAGAUUUUUACUCCCUGCUUGAUGGUAUGAGAAAUAAAGGCCUUCGCAGAAUUGCUGACAUACUGACAUGUGGCUCAAUUAAAUUUGAGAAACUAGUACUAGCAUUGAUCAUCAAGCAGUUAUCCUUUGCGUAUUUGUAUCAAAACUGAUUAGCAGCUCGGUUAGGCAAAUGUGCCAUGGACUUAUUUAUACUAAUCUAGCCAAAAUCUGUGGUGACCAAAAGCUAGGUUGUGUGAAGUCCCUAUUUUAAAUGUAAUGAAUUGAUUGUAAUGAAGCAAAGCUUUUGCCAACAACGGAUGACUACAAGUUGAUUACUAGUUGAUUUAGACAACUUUUAAAUACUGUUUUGUGCAAUGUGAUGAAGACUGUACAUGUCUUACAAGAACAAUAAUUCAAUGCAAUUAUAUUACACCAUGAUCUAUUGAGGUUGAUUGACCCUGGGUUAAUUUCUCCAUCCUAUUGACAUACCAAAAUAAUGACAUAAAUAUUACUCCAUAAAAUA